AAAGAAAAUAACAAUGAUUCCCUUAGUAACGGCGAGUGAAGAGGGAUUAGCUCAAAUUUAAAAUCUGCUGGGUUUACCUAUCAGAGUUGUAAUUUGAAGAGGGCGUUUUCCGCGUCAUUGUUGGUCCAAAUCCUUUGGGAUAAGGUAUCAUGGAGGGUGAGAAUCCCGUCCGACCGACAUCAUGAUGUUUUACGAUACGCUUUCAAAGAGUCGAGUUGUUUGGGAUUGCAGCUCAAAAUGGGAGGUAAAUUUCUCCUAAGGCUAAAUAUUGGCGAGAGACCGAUAGCGAACAAGUACCGUGAGGGAAAGAUGAAAAGAACUUUGAAAAGAGAGUUAAAAAGUACGUGAAAUUGUUGAAAGGGAAACGAUUGAAGUCAGUCGUACCGACGAGAAAUCAGCUUUUCGAAUGUGCAUUUGUGGGCGUAUGAGAUCUUCAUUGUUUGCAAUAUGUAUGUUUCUUUGGUGUAUUUUUUCGUAUGGUAGGUCAACGUCGGUUUUGGUCGCCAUAAAAUGAUCGGAGGAAUGUAGCUUCGACCUCGGUUGAAGUGUUAUAGCCUUUGGUAAAUGUGGUGAUUAGGACCGAGGAUUGCAACGAAUACCUUUUAGGCUAUCCGUCUGACCUCUGAAAGUUACUUAGGUGCCGAAAGCUUGCUUACGGUCAUUUAAGUUGACGGUCAAAAGGUUAGAACGUGAUUACAUUCGUUAAGGACGUUG
Molecule: ribosomal RNA, 714 nt
Filed under: uncultured Glomus
Lineage: Eukaryota; Fungi; Glomeromycota; Glomeromycetes; Glomerales; Glomeraceae
Description: eukaryotic LSU rRNA
Rfam family: Eukaryotic large subunit ribosomal RNA
Source: RNAcentral